Hevea brasiliensis (rubber tree) is the source of this 559-nucleotide long non-coding RNA. RefSeq lists it as uncharacterized. Lineage: Eukaryota; Viridiplantae; Streptophyta; Magnoliopsida; Malpighiales; Euphorbiaceae. The transcript is spliced from 3 exons. The record is from RefSeq and is a predicted model, not a curated record.
AAACUGCAAAGGCAGGAGGAGAGGCUGGUUCACUGCAAAGGCACAUCAAUUAAAAUGCAAAAGCCACAAGCAAAUCUUCAGUGGAUGGAUGGCGUCACAUAUUGGUUACAAUCUUGAUGGCUAUCAAAAGCGUACCCAAAGUUCCUGCCAUUAGAAGCACCAAUGAUGUCAAGGAAAUCCUGCAAUGUUUGAAGACCAUUGAUAAUUGCAAAAUUCUGGCUUUAGAGGUGCUUUGGACUCCACAGGAUGAGAAUGAUACUUUGUCAGAGCAGGAAUUGCUAACAAAUUACCCAUCUUUGAGGUCAAUAACUACAUCUUGAUGUUAUCCGUUCAGACAUGAUGAAGAAGAUCCCGGUGAACGGCAAUGCCAUAACUCAUAAGGAGCUAUAAGCUAGCUAGAUUGACUAUCUUCUAAUUAUUUCUGGUGUUUAUUUGUUCUCAAGCUUAUGAUUAUCUCUUCAUAUUUAAAUUUCAUAAGCCAAAUCCAUCACUAGAUAAUCUCGUUAAGCAAUGUUAAUAAUCAAAAUACAUGAUGAUGCAGCAGAUUAGAUUACUGAUU